Small nuclear RNA from Ursus maritimus (polar bear), 107 nucleotides. The record is from Ensembl. NCBI's taxonomy places the organism in Eukaryota, Metazoa, Chordata, Mammalia, Carnivora, Ursidae.
GUGCUCGGUUUGGCAGCACAUAUACUAAAACUGGAAUGAUACAGAGAAGAUUAGCAUGGCCCCUGCACAAGGAUGACACACAAAUUUGUGAAAAUUAUUUUCUUCUC